Molecule: unclassified non-coding RNA, 213 nt
Filed under: Hevea brasiliensis (rubber tree)
Lineage: Eukaryota; Viridiplantae; Streptophyta; Magnoliopsida; Malpighiales; Euphorbiaceae
Source: RNAcentral
CCUUCUGUUGCCCAAUUUCUUGCUUUCCGUCUCAGUACCUAUUUCUUUAAUUGAAAAGUGACUGAUCAAAAGAAGAAAGCCUCUGAAACAAAGGCUGGAUUUGUUGGUGAUAAUCCCUCUUUACAAAUUAGUCCCGCAAAGUUAGAUGGAACUAAUUAUUGGCAUGGUCUAGAUCUUGUCUACUGUUCAUUCAGACUAGAGGACUGCAGGGAU